This 495-nucleotide non-coding RNA is filed under the name uncultured Archaeospora. RNAcentral describes it as "SSU rRNA". It matches the Rfam family "Eukaryotic small subunit ribosomal RNA", at positions 591 to 1092 of the family's 1831-position model. RNAcentral also lists the same sequence under 1 other name. Lineage: Eukaryota; Fungi; Glomeromycota; Glomeromycetes; Archaeosporales; Archaeosporaceae. The record is from RNAcentral.
CCAAUAGCGUAUAUUAAAGUUGUUGCAGUUAAAAAGCUCGUAGUUGAAUUUUAGGCCUGGCCGGAUGGUCCGUCUUUGGCGAGUACUGUUCUGUCGUCGGGUCUAUCCUUCUGGUGAGCCGGGAUGCCCUUUAUUGGGUGUGUCGGGGAACCAGGACCAUUACCUUGAAAAAAUUAGAGUGUUUAAAGCGGGCAUUUGCUUGAAUAGAUUAGCAUGGAAUAAUAGAAUAGGACGUUGGUUCUAUUUUGUUGGUUUUAGGACCACCGUAAUGAUUAAUAGGGAUAGUUGGGGGCAUUAGUAUUCAAUUGUCAGAGGUGAAAUUCUUGGAUUUAUUGAAGACUAACUAUUGCGAAAGCAUUUGCCAAGGAUGUUUUCAUUAAUCAAGAACGAAAGUUAGGGGAUCGAAGACGAUCAGAUACCGUCGUAGUCUUAACCAUAAACUAUGCCGACUAGGAAUCGGGCGACGUUAUUUCAUGACUCGCUCGGCGCCUUAUG